This 75-nucleotide transfer RNA is filed under the name Metapseudomonas otitidis. RNAcentral's name for it is "tRNA-Gln". It matches the Rfam family "tRNA". From Rfam's summary of the family: Transfer RNA (tRNA) molecules are approximately 80 nucleotides in length. The record is from RNAcentral. Lineage: Bacteria; Pseudomonadati; Pseudomonadota; Gammaproteobacteria; Pseudomonadales; Pseudomonadaceae.
AGGGGCGUCGCCAAGCGGUAAGGCAGCAGGUUUUGAUCCUGCCAUGCGUUGGUUCGCAUCCAGCCGCCCCUGCCA